CCUGACUGACCCAGUGCUUCCCUGCGUGGUCCUGCAUGGCGUGGUAUGUCCCCUCCUCUAGGGAACUGAAAUUCAUCAUGCAAUGGCCUUCAACCCAUCUGAACAUUUUCUCUGGCUACAGAAAAUGCCUGGGUCGUGCCCCGAAAUGAAUCUUCUUUUCAAAGAGAAACGGUAGGAUUUACAGCCUACUCUAAAAGCCACCUUCGUCUACCACAGGCUCAGCCAUAAAGCAAGUCUCAGUAGAUUCAAAAGAAUUAAACUCAUACCAACCAUACUCUCAGACCACAGUGGACUAAAAUUAGAAAUCAACACCAAGAAGAUCUCUCAAAACCACACAAUUACAUGGAAAUUAAAUGACCUGCUCCUGAAUGACUUUUGGGUAAACAAUGAAAUUAAGGCAGAGAUCACAAAUUAUUUGAAAUAAGUGAAAACAGAGACAUAACAUACCAAAAUCUCUGAGAUGCAGCAAAAGCAGUGGUAAGAAGAAUGUUUAGAGUGCUAAAUGCCUACCUCAAAAAGUUAGAAAGAUCUCAUAUUAAUAAUCUUAUCACCACUCCUAGAGGAAGUAGAAAAACAAGAUCAAACCAACUCCAAAGUUAGCAAAAGAAAAGAAACAGCUAUAAAAUCAGAACAGAACAGAACAAAAUUGAGAUCCAAAAUCCAUACAAAGAAUCAAUGAAACCAAAAGUUCAUUAUUUGAAAGGAUAAAUGAGAUUAAUAGACCACUAGCUAGAUUAAAAAAGAAAGAGAGACGAUCCAAAUAAGCACAAUCAGAAAUGAUGAAGGUGACAUUAUAACUGAUUCCACAGAAAUAUAAAAUAUCUUCAGAGACUAUUAUGAACACUUCUAGGCACACAAACUAGAAAAUCUAGAGGAAAUGAAUAAGUUCCUGGAAACUCACAAUUUCCCAAGAUUCAAUUAGGAAGAAACUGAAACCCUGAACAGAACAAUAUCAAGAUCUGAAAUUGAAGGAGUAAUAAAAAACCUACCAACCAAUAAAAGCCCUGAAAAGAUGGAUUCACAGCCAAAUUCUAUUAGAUGUACAAAGAAGAGCUGGUACCAAUCCUGCUGAAACUAUUCCAAAAAAUUGAGGAGGGACUCCUCUCUAAUUUGUUCUUUGAAAUCAGCAUAACACCAAUACCAAAACCUGGCAAAGAUACAAUAAAAAGAAAAUGUGGCACAUAUACACCAUGGAAUACUAUGCAGCCAUGAAAAAUGAAGAGUUCAUGUCCUUUG
This 1236-nucleotide long non-coding RNA is filed under the name Homo sapiens (human). RNAcentral's name for it is "HSALNT0068999". Lineage: Eukaryota; Metazoa; Chordata; Mammalia; Primates; Hominidae. The record is from RNAcentral.